RNAcentral lists this ribosomal RNA (103 nucleotides) under Bacillus amyloliquefaciens. Lineage: Bacteria; Bacillati; Bacillota; Bacilli; Caryophanales; Bacillaceae. RNAcentral also lists the same sequence under 4 other names. The record is from RNAcentral.
GCGAAGAGGUCACACCCGUUCCCAUGCCGAACACGGAAGUUAAGCUCUUCAGCGCCGAUGGUAGUCGGGGGUUUCCCCCUGUGAGAGUAGGACGCCGCCAAGC